Non-coding RNA from Cinara cedri, 207 nucleotides. NCBI's taxonomy places the organism in Eukaryota, Metazoa, Arthropoda, Insecta, Hemiptera, Aphididae. The record is from the annotation of a GenBank genome assembly.
CAAAAAUGUCAUGCGGUUCAGCAACUUUUCUGCCUAAUUAGGUGAGCUGCUACUAAUAUGCUUACACAUUUACAAAAUUUUUUUUCUCCAUCUGUUUUUUAUAAUUCAUUUUAUCAUUUAAACACUAUCGAGUCUAUUUGAAACAAAACAAUAAGUUUAUUAUAAUUUAUAACAAACAUAUAAAGCAUAUUUAUUAAUAUAACCGUA